Long non-coding RNA from Papaver somniferum (opium poppy), 803 nucleotides. RefSeq lists it as uncharacterized. The transcript is spliced from 3 exons. The record is from RefSeq and is a predicted model, not a curated record. NCBI's taxonomy places the organism in Eukaryota, Viridiplantae, Streptophyta, Magnoliopsida, Ranunculales, Papaveraceae.
UUGGGUAGAGAAUUCUAUUGCUCCAAAGAUUCCAGAGUGGUAGCAUUCUUCACGGAGAUUUGUGAUGUCUGAUGUCUAAGUGCUGAAAUCAGCAAUGAAUCAACACCUGGAUUUAAUGUCGGAUCUCGUUUAGAAAUUUAAUGGUGAACUUCGCGCUGGGUUGCAACCUGCUGUUGAUAAUUUCCGUAGCUUCUUCCAUGCAAUCGAUUGAAAGCUUCAUUUGAGAGGAUACGAAGAUGUCUGAUCACGAGGAACCAGUUAGCAAGAAGGCACACCAAUUGACAUUUCUUAAAGCAGUCAGAUGUUGUUGCAGCUAGAGUCCGACCAUGACAUCAUUCCGAGGCAUUUGAAUCACACUGACGAGUUUUUCUCUGUUCAACUUAUCAUUCAGGCAUAACAACCGAAUAUCAGAACAAGUUCCAAUCGGCGAGCAGUGGUGAUUGAAAUCUUGCAUGCUUCUGGUGACCAGACCACUGAUAUUGGCUGGUAUGUGAAGUGUACAGUUCUUGGAGGAAUCUACUCUGCGGCUGUGGUUUAAAAUAUGCUGACUGAUAAUUCACCAGGUUACUAACUGCUUCUCUUUGUGCUCAGAAUUUGUUUGCGCUUAGGUUCACAUGAAAAAUCUGAGUGCUGUCUGAUUAAGCUAUAUUGUUCAUUUGGUUACCUGAAGAUUUUGCUGGAGUUACCUGAAGUGGUUUUAACAAAAGUAGUUUAUCCUUCUAUUUUCAAGUGAAAUGACACUGCUGGGUUUCAAUAAAAAGCCCAGAUUCUUUUCAAUUGAAACACUUAUGUUAUCAGUGGCA